AGAGCGAACGCUGGCGGCAGGCCUAAUACAUGCAAGUCGAACGAACCCUUCGGGGUUAGUGGCGGACGGGUGAGUAACACGUGGGAACGUGCCUUUUGGUUCGGAACAACUCAGGGAAACUUGAGCUAAUACCGAAUGUGCCCUUCGGGGGAAAGAUUUAUCGCCAUUAGAGCGGCCCGCGUCUGAUUAGCUAGUUGGUGGGGUAAAGGCCCACCAAGGCUACGAUCAGUAGCUGGUCUGAGAGGAUGAUCAGCCACACUGGGACUGAGACACGGCCCAGACUCCUACGGGAGGCAGCAGUAGGGAAUCUUGCGCAAUGGGCGAAAGCCUGACGCAGCCAUGCCGCGUGAAUGAUGGAGGUCUUAGGAUUGUAAAAUUCUUUCAGCGGGGACGAUAAUGACGGUACCCGCAGAAGAAGCCCGGCUAACUUCGUGCCAGCAGCCGC
Molecule: ribosomal RNA, 445 nt
Filed under: uncultured bacterium
Lineage: Bacteria
Description: SSU rRNA
Rfam family: Bacterial small subunit ribosomal RNA
Source: RNAcentral